ACCUGGUUGAUCCUGCCAGUAAUGAUAUGCUUGUUUUUAAGCCUAAGCCAUGCAAAUGUGGUAUAAAUUGACUUUACGAUGAAACUGUGAACGGCUCAUUAAAUCAGUUAUAGUUUAUUUGAUGGUAUUGAAGUUUUUCUUCAACUACAUGGAUAACUGUAGUAACCUAGAGCUAAUACAUGCAUAAACAAUCAAACUAUUUUAGGAAUGAUUGGCACUUAUUAGAUAUCAAACCAAUAUAUUUUCGGAUAUUAUUUCGGUGAAUCAUAAUAACUGAACAGAUCGCAUGAAUUUAUUUCGGCGACGUUUCAUUCAAAUUUCUGCCCUAUCAACUAGAUGUUAGUAUAUAGGACUAACAUGGUUUUAACGGGUGACGGGGAAUUGGGGUUCGAUUCCGGAGAAGGAGCAUGAGAAACGGCUACUACUUCUAAGGAAAGCAGCAGGCGCGCAAAUUAUUCAAUGGAAACAUUUUUCCGAAAUAGUGACAAAAAAUAACAAUAUGUUGCACAAUGUGUGAUAUAAUUGGAAUGAGUACAAUUUAAAAACCUUAGCGAGUAACAAUUAGAGGGCAAGCCUGGUGCCAGCAGCCGCGGUAAUGACCUUAAAUGCCUUCGUACUAGGGUAGCAGCACUUUCAUAGUGUCCAGCUCUAAUAGCGUAUAUUAAUGUUGUUGCAGUUAAAAAGCUCGUAGUUGAAUUUUGAAUUUUUAAAUAAGUUUGGUUUACAUUUUUAUGUAUAACUACUUGUUUGAAUUCUUCCUACUAGAUACUCGAUACUGUUCUUAAUUGAAUGGUGUAGCAAAAUCUCGGUUUUGUCAAUAUAGUUUUAUAGCUCCUCAAAUAUGUGGAUAUACGUAAAAAUAUAAAAAUAUAUUUAGUGGAAUCAGUUAUUUUAUUAUAUUGGAGUUCUAGUUCAUUUACUUUGAGAAAAUUAGAGUGUUUAAGGCAGCCUCUUGGGGCUCUGAAUACAUUAGCAUGGGAUAAUAAAAUAGGAUUUAAAACAAUAUAUUUGUUGGUUUGAAUGAUUUAAAUAAUGAUUAAUAGGGAUAGUUGGGGGUAUUUAUAUUGGAUGGUUAGCGGUGAAAUGCAUGGAUCCAUUCAAGAUAAACUAAAGCGAAAGCAUUUACCAAGGAUAUUUUCAUUAAUCAAGAACGAAAGUUAAGGGAUCGAAGAUGAUCAGAUACCGUCGUAGUCUUAACCAUAAACUAUGCCGACCAGGGAUAUGAGUUGUUAUGAAUAUAGAAAUAUGUUCAAUUUCUUCUUAUGAACCUUGUGAGAAAUCAUAAGUUUUUGGGUUCUGGGGGGAGUAUGGUCGCAAGGCUGAAACUUAAAGGAAUUGACGGAGGGGCACCACCAGGAGUGGAGCGUGCGGCUUAAUUUGACUCAACACGGGAAAACUUACCAGGUCCAGACAUUAGAAGGAUUGACAGAUUGAUAGCUCUUUCAUGAUUUAAUGGGUGGUGGUGCAUGGCCGUUCUUAGUUGGUGGAGUGAUUUGUCUGGUUAAUUCCGAUAACGAACGAGACCUUUACCAUACUAAAUAGUUUGAUUUAUGAUUUUUCAUAGAUUUUUAUUUAAACUUCUUAAAGGGACUAUUGGUUUCUAAACCAAAGGAAGUAAAGGCGAUAACAGGUCUGUGAUGCCCUUAGAUGUUCUGGGCUGCACGCGCGCUACAAUGAUAAACUCAACGAGUAUAUAUUUUAUUUUAUUGCUUUACCGGAAGGUAUGGCUAAUCUUAAACGUUUAUCGUGCUUGGGAUAGAUGAUUGCAAUUAUUUAUCUUGAACCAGGAAUUCCUAGUAAUCGUAUAUCAUCAGUGUGCGAUGAUUACGUCCCUGCCCCUUGUACACACCGCCCGUCGCUGCUACCGAUUGGAUGAUCCGGUGAAAUCUUCGGAUAAUAAUAAAUACUUUACUUUGUAAAGUUUAUUGUUAGAAGUUGAUUAAACCUUAUCAUCUAGAGGAAGCAAAAGUCGUAACAAGGCUUCCGUAGGUGAACCUGCGGAAG
Molecule: ribosomal RNA, 2004 nt
Filed under: Vannella sp. S4M30
Lineage: Eukaryota; Discosea; Flabellinia; Vannellidae
Description: bacterial SSU rRNA
Rfam family: Eukaryotic small subunit ribosomal RNA
Source: RNAcentral